Gossypium arboreum is the source of this 517-nucleotide long non-coding RNA. RefSeq lists it as uncharacterized. The transcript is spliced from 3 exons. The record is from RefSeq and is a predicted model, not a curated record. Lineage: Eukaryota; Viridiplantae; Streptophyta; Magnoliopsida; Malvales; Malvaceae.
CUUCAUGACCGAAUGUUAAAAUAAAAGAGAAAGAAAAAGGUUUUCAAAGUUUCGGCCAUUGUUGAGUUUGAUUAAGAUCAAGAACUAAAGAAAUCGGAUUUGGAUCAGGGAAAAACCAAAGUUGUCAAAUAGUCAUUCCGUUCCAAUUGCUGUUGUCCGAGAUUUUGGAGUCAAGUUACAAGCUCGGGGAUCGUCAGCGAAGUUUAUCACACUAUUGACUGUUUUCGAUACUUUAUAAGUUGAAUUUCGAAUCUAUGGCAUGUAUAGGCUAGAUUAUAUUUGGAUAUGUCGAUUUUGUUAUGUAUAUAUAUAAGCCAUGCGAAAAUGGCUUGUUUAUUUUGUUAAGUUCGGUUUCAAGGUAUGAUCAAAUUAUGGUUAUGUUUGGUUGUAUUUUUGGUGAUUCGGUUGUGGUUUAUUCACAGAUAAAUAUAUAUGUGAACUUUGUUGUUAUGUUUUGUUAAGAUGUUAUUAUAUGAUUUGGUAUUUAAGCAUAUUCAGUUAUGGUAUAUAGAAGAAG